Molecule: ribosomal RNA, 106 nt
Filed under: Klebsiella oxytoca 10-5249
Lineage: Bacteria; Pseudomonadati; Pseudomonadota; Gammaproteobacteria; Enterobacterales; Enterobacteriaceae
Source: RNAcentral
UAGCGCGGUGGUCCCACCUGACCCCAUGCCGAACUCAGAAGUGAAACGCCGUAGCGCCGAUGGUAGUGUGGGGUCUCCCCAUGUGAGAGUAGGGCAUUGCCAGGCA